CGCUUGCAGAGUCUAGUACAGUUGGAGUUGCCGCAGCAAUCGCGAACCCAAUCUGCCACAUGCAGCUUGCGAUCAUGAGGAGUGGAUUCCUGCGUUGGACCUGCUCGCUCUCAUGGCGUAAUUUACUGCCUGAAUCAAGGUCGGAGUUCCUUGCCAUAUCGCAGCGCCAAGUCCGCCGGUGCUGAUGCACUAUAUUAUGGGAGACAAGCGGCGGCCGGGGCUGCGAGAAGCCGCAGGAGGUGACUGAAGCAGGCCGAGCUCCACUCAAAGAGCGCACCGAUGAUGUUUGAAGAAAUGCCCCCGUCGGAAUGGCCGGCUGUUGCUCGGCUAAAUGCCCCCGUGCGGAUGCAGGACAGGUGCUCGACGAAAUGCCUGCAAGAAACCGGCAAAUCCUGAGAACGGCCAUCUCGUGUCUUUUCCUCCCGCCCAGCACGUCAGGCACUGCAGCUGGGGCGAUGCUUUCUCUGAAGUUCUCUGCAAUGUCCAGACGUAAUUCCAGGAGUGCUUGGAUGCAGGCUGGUCUAUGAAUUGAGAUACCACCCCUGUGGAGGUCGCCCAGAUCAUUUUCAACAAAAUGGCCUUGUGCGACUGCAAGGGUCGGGUGCCAUUGGAUAGGUAAGCUGGUGAGUUUUGGAUUGGCUGGGUUGGAAUGAUGCCUAGAAAGGCUCCAGGUGCGUGU
Molecule: long non-coding RNA, 679 nt
Organism: Triticum dicoccoides
Lineage: Eukaryota; Viridiplantae; Streptophyta; Magnoliopsida; Poales; Poaceae
Exons: 3
Source: RefSeq, a predicted model, not a curated record